UACGGGGGGAGCAAGCGUUGUUCGGAUUUACUGGGCGUAAAGCGCACGUAGGCGGACUCUUAAGUCAGGGGUGAAAUCCUGGAGCUCAACUCCAGAACUGCCCUUGAUACUGGGAGCCUUGAGUUCGGGAGAGGUGAGUGGAACUGCGAGUGUAGAGGUGAAAUUCGUAGAUAUUCGCAAGAACACCAGUGGCGAAGGCGGCUCACUGGCCCGAUACUGACGCUGAGGUGCGAAAGCGUGGGGAGCAAACAGG
RNAcentral lists this ribosomal RNA (253 nucleotides) under uncultured bacterium. RNAcentral describes it as "partial 16S ribosomal RNA". It matches the Rfam family "Bacterial small subunit ribosomal RNA", at positions 524 to 776 of the family's 1533-position model. The record is from RNAcentral.